RNAcentral lists this ribosomal RNA (253 nucleotides) under uncultured bacterium. Its description in RNAcentral is "partial 16S ribosomal RNA". It matches the Rfam family "Bacterial small subunit ribosomal RNA", at positions 524 to 776 of the family's 1533-position model. The record is from RNAcentral.
UACAGAGGUGGCAAGCGUUGUUCGGAAUUACUGGGCGUAAAGGGCGCGUAGGCGGUCUUAUAAGUCUCGUGUGAAAUCCCUUGGCUUAACUGAGGAACUGCACGGGAUACUGCAAGACUUGAGAUCGGGAGAGGGAAGCGGAAUUCCGGGUGUAGCGGUGAAAUGCGUAGAUAUCCGGAGGAACACCGGUGGCGAAGGCGGCUUCCUGGACCGAAACUGACGCUGAGGCGCGAAAGCUAGGGGAGCAAACAGG